UUCAUACUCCCUCCGUCCAGAAAUAGUUGUCGAAGGAAUAGAUGUAUCUAGAUGUAUUUUAGUUUCACAUGCAUCCAUUUAUGUCCAUUUUCGCGACAAGUAUUUUCGGACGGAGGGAGUACUUC
Non-coding RNA from Triticum aestivum (bread wheat), 125 nucleotides. NCBI's taxonomy places the organism in Eukaryota, Viridiplantae, Streptophyta, Magnoliopsida, Poales, Poaceae. The record is from Rfam.